UACGUAGGGUGCAAGCGUUGUCCGGAAUUAUUGGGCGUAAAGAGCUCGUAGGCGGUUUGUCGCGUCGGCUGUGAAAGCCCGGAGCUCAACUCCGGGUCUGCAGUCGAUACGGGCAGACUUGAGUGUUGCAGGGGAGACUGGAAUUCCUGGUGUAGCGGUGAAAUGCGCAGAUAUCAGGAGGAACACCGGUGGCGAAGGCGGGUCUCUGGGAAACAACUGACGCUGAGGAACGAAAGCGUGGGUAGCAAACAGG
RNAcentral lists this ribosomal RNA (253 nucleotides) under uncultured bacterium. RNAcentral describes it as "partial 16S ribosomal RNA". It matches the Rfam family "Bacterial small subunit ribosomal RNA", at positions 524 to 776 of the family's 1533-position model. The record is from RNAcentral.